Molecule: ribosomal RNA, 223 nt
Filed under: uncultured bacterium
Lineage: Bacteria
Description: partial 16S ribosomal RNA
Rfam family: Bacterial small subunit ribosomal RNA
Source: RNAcentral
ACGCUCGACACCUACGGGGAGGCAGCAGUAGGGAAUCUUCCACAAUGGACGCAAGUCUGAUGGAGCAACGCCGCGUGAGUGAAGAAGGUUUUCGGAUCGUAAAGCUCUGUUGUUGGUGAAGAAGGAUAGAGGUAGUAACUGGCCUUUAUUUGACGGUAAUCAACCAGAAAGUCACGGCUAACUACGUGCCACAGCCGCGGUAAUCUGAGCGGGCUGGCAAGGC